RNAcentral lists this ribosomal RNA (420 nucleotides) under uncultured bacterium. RNAcentral's name for it is "bacterial SSU rRNA". It matches the Rfam family "Bacterial small subunit ribosomal RNA", at positions 355 to 772 of the family's 1533-position model. The record is from RNAcentral.
UAAGGAAUAUUGGUCAAUGGACGCAAGUCUGAACCAGCCAUGCCGCGUGGAGGAUGAAGGCCCUCUGGGUUGUAAACUUCUUUUAUCUGGGACGAAACCCAUCCAUUCUUGGGUGAUUGACGGUACCAGAGGAAUAAGCACCGGCUAACUCCGUGCCAGCAGCCGCGGUAAUACGGAGGGUGCAAGCGUUAUCCGGAUUCACUGGGUUUAAAGGGUGCGUAGGCGGGCAGGUAAGUCAGUGGUGAAAUCUCCAAGCUUAACUUGGAAACUGCCGUUGAUACUAUCUGUCUUGAAUACUGUGGAGGUGAGCAGAAUAUGUCAUGUAGCGGUGAAAUGCUUAGAUAUGACAUAGAACACCAAUUGCGAAGGCAGCUCACUACACAGCCAUUGACGCUGAGGCACGAAAGCGUGGGGAUCAAA